Molecule: ribosomal RNA, 427 nt
Filed under: uncultured bacterium
Lineage: Bacteria
Description: partial 16S ribosomal RNA
Rfam family: Bacterial small subunit ribosomal RNA
Source: RNAcentral
UGGGGAAUAUUGGACAAUGGGCGAAAGCCUGAUCCAGCCAUGCCGCGUGUGUGAAGAAGGUCUUCGGAUUGUAAAGCACUUUAAGUUGGGAGGAAGGGUUGUAGAUUAAUACUCUGCAAUUUUGACGUUACCGACAGAAUAAGCACCGGCUAACUCUGUGCCAGCAGCCGCGGUAAUACAGAGGGGGCAAGCGUUAAUCGGAAUUACUGGGCGUAAAGCGCGCGUAGGUGGUUAGUUAAGUUGGAUGUGAAAUCCCCGGGCUCAACCUGGGAACUGCAUUCAAAACUGACUGACUAGAGUAUGGUAGAGGGUGGUGGAAUUUCCUGUGUAGCGGUGAAAUGCGUAGAUAUAGGAAGGAACACCAGUGGCGAAGGCGACCACCUGGACUGAUACUGACACUGAGGUGCGAAAGCGUGGGGAGCAAACA